RNAcentral lists this long non-coding RNA (309 nucleotides) under Setaria viridis. Its description in RNAcentral is "long non-coding RNA (SVIR_LNC002073)". The record is from RNAcentral. Lineage: Eukaryota; Viridiplantae; Streptophyta; Magnoliopsida; Poales; Poaceae.
UUGGAGAUAGAAUUAGAGAAAAAGGAUUAGGGUUAGAGAUAGAAUUAGGAUUAGGGUCAAGUAAGGUUCUCUAGAGAAAAAGGAUUUGUAUUGAUCAGUAAGAAUUAUCAAGAAUAUCGUCACCCAACCCCAGGCUUUGAGACUUUGUGCAUGGCUCCUCAAUCAAAAGUCGUGACAAUAUUUCAUUCCAUUUGCUUAGCUUAAACCUCACCGGGUAGUGAUCAAGUUUUGGUUCUUCUAAGUAGAACCCAGCAUCCGCAUCCGUAUAGAAAGCACGAAAGUGACGGACCUUCUCAGCCCCAGAAAUCC